UGCCUAAGGACAUAUGAACUCAGGAGCAGCUCUGAAGUGCAAGGAGGUGAAAGAGCUGUGUGCUGUGUUACAGCUUCUUCUCCAGGCUGAGGAACUGGGUCUUGCCUAACUACAAGGGGAUAGCUGCCAAUCAGAACUUCCAGUAUAUCCAAGGCCGAGUAACCUUCUUUUAGGUGUCUCUCUGCCUUGUCUAUACUGAGAUGCAAGGGCAGCAAGAAAAUCUGUAAACAUCCUAUUAAAGCCAGAACAUGACAUUUUAAGAACUUUCAUUUCACCACAGAGGUGAAAAAAGAC
Molecule: long non-coding RNA, 294 nt
Filed under: Homo sapiens (human)
Lineage: Eukaryota; Metazoa; Chordata; Mammalia; Primates; Hominidae
Description: HSALNT0108919
Source: RNAcentral